AACGUAGGAGACGAGCGUUAUCCGGAUUUACUGGGCGUAAAGAGCGUGUAGGAGGCAGUACAAGUUGGAUGUGAAAGCUCCCGGCUUAACUGGGAGAGGUCGUUCAAAACUGUGCAGCUAGAGGAAGGCAGAGGUAGACGGAACUCCGGGAGUAGUGGUGAAAUGCGUAGAUAUCCGGAAGAACACCAGAGGCGAAGGCGGUCUACUGGGCCUUAACUGACACUGAGACGCGAAAGCCAGGGUAGCAAACGGGAUUAGAGACC
RNAcentral lists this ribosomal RNA (263 nucleotides) under uncultured bacterium. RNAcentral describes it as "partial 16S ribosomal RNA". It matches the Rfam family "Bacterial small subunit ribosomal RNA", at positions 524 to 786 of the family's 1533-position model. The record is from RNAcentral.